Long non-coding RNA from Papaver somniferum (opium poppy), 1122 nucleotides. RefSeq lists it as uncharacterized. Lineage: Eukaryota; Viridiplantae; Streptophyta; Magnoliopsida; Ranunculales; Papaveraceae. The transcript has 4 exons. The record is from RefSeq and is a predicted model, not a curated record.
CGUUUCUCUUUUCUUUUCUAUUCUUUUCCUACUAUUCAUCAUUUCCCUCUGAGAAUCUUACUGGAACAACAUCAAUUGAACAAAUUCGAUUAAAUUAAAUAUUCUACAUCGAUCGACAACCUCAUUAGGGCUUCUUUUCAAUUUCUUCUUCUCUCUUUGUUCUUCGUACAUAUUACAAAUCGAUUAGAACAAUUGAAUUUCGAACUCCAUUCGUUCCAAACAAGAUCGAUUUGGUUAAUUUGAUUGGAAAUGUUCUCAAGUUUCUCAAACUCAUGAGGUUGACAAGGGAUGCCAUUUCAGCAUCCAUUUGGAUAGAUCAGCACCUAAGAGUUGGUCUCUCAUUGUCCUCGACUAAUGCGACCGAAAUCUACUUCAACAUGGGUGUAGCCGUUGUGAUUGAAUGCAUGUUUAAGGUGCGUGAUCAUUCUUGAAGUAAGACAUCAUAGUUGUCCAUUUUUGCUUUCUUCCGCGAAAGCUUACAUUGUUUUGGUGGAAGAGGUUAGGAACAAUUUUCUACCUGUAUUCACAACCCUCAAUUUAUUUUUAAUUUCAUGCAUCGUGGCAUCAUUACUCCGAUACUGGAUAUGGGAUGCCAUGUUGUUGUUGCUUUUGAGGAGGUUUCUAUUAUGGAUGUUGGUACCUCAAUGGACAUGAUAGCCAAAAUUUGUUAGGAAUGAAAAGUACAAGUUUCUUCAUCUCAACGACCAAUUUCCCCUUCCUUGCCCCUUCAGGGCAGAAACCUCCCUACGUUGUUGCAACUAUCACUCGCAAUACUCUUUAAGACUUAGCAGAAGACAAACUGGAGGAGUGGAGUAUCCCAGCAGGCAUUGUGGUGGUCCCUUUUUCGUUAAACAGAAUGAAGACAGAACUAUUAAGAAUUUAUGGGCUAUCUCUGUUGGUUCUAUGAACCUUAUUUAUUGAACUAAAGGUUGUUUUUGUAGCAUCUUAUGCGACAUUGGCUUUUCAAUUUAUCUUUUUUCUGCAUAAUAUUUUGAGGUAAUACUCAAUAGAAAUAGAGAUUCGUUUAAAUAAGACUUCUCAAUGUUUUUGGGUACAACUUUGUUCAAGUCUAAUACAAUUUGCCUAUGCUAUCCACGAAAGGGUAGACUUAGCUUUGCAUAA